CCAUGGUUAAUGGUAUUUUGGCAGAUUGGGCAUCUUUUUAAGGUUUAAGCUCGGCAAUGGAGAGCAAAAUUGAGCAUUCGAGCGAGAAAAUCGUAUGUGGAGAAGGUCGAGGUUAGAGAGAAGAAGUUGUCGAGAGAGAAUGAGGACCCUAGAGAGAGAAAGUGCCCGAAGUACGAGGGAAAUGUCUCCCUCUGAUUUUCCCAUUUCCAUUUCAAAAGGUCAGUAGUGGUGGGGGACUUUCAGUCUCAGAAGUCACUUUGAAACUACGAAAAUUGCACCAAUAUCUCAAUUCUUUGACAUUAGAUGUUCUGCAAAUUUUCGAAAUUACGCUUAAACAGUGAUGGGCAGAUCUGGACCGUUGCCUGACAUCAAUGGAAGUAUAGUAUGAAACUAUCAAGUUUGAGAAUAAUUAGAACCAUUAUUAUAAAAUCUGGCGGUCUGGAUUAGGAAUCUUCGAUUAAUACUGAGAAUGGGUUUGGAGUUGGACUGAUCCAUGCUGGAAUUAUGAGUGGUUUGGUUUUUGUAAACUCGCUCGUUCCGUAAGGAACUAGGCAAGUUUGUCAAGGAAUGGGGGUGUGCAAGUUUGUCAAGGAAUGGGGGUGUCUGGAUGGGUCAGAUCACCUAAUUCCCACCUGUCUUAAUUUUAUUAUUUAUUGUUUUCUAGUUGUUAUUUUCUUGAUGGAUUGGUUUUGAAGAAUCGGUGUAAUUCUUCAAUCCAGAUCGGCUACUAGUUUAUACAAACCGAUCUUUAGGAUGGCCGAUCAGUUUGGAAGUGUCAUGGCUAAAAACAAUUGAUGGAAGGUACGGGGGAGAGUGGCACUCACCAUGCGUCAAUCUCACUGGAAAUUGUUUUGGCAGACAAAAGCAUCAAUAUGAUGGUUUCAACAUUUCAAUCUCAUGGAAAAGAAUAGAUUUUACAACUUUUGAAAAAGAUUCAUCUUGUAACACAUUAACAGUCUAUUUUCAAAUGUUAAAAUAAACAAUUAGAUUUGUAUUAUUUUUUGAACUUCAAAUUUCAUAAUCAGAUCAACAAAUAGAUUUUCAUUGUCAUCGUAGGCGUUCCAAUGCUGAAACUGCAUUUUCUAGUGGUGCUAUGAGAUACAACUUUAUAUUAUGUUAUGCAGCACUAAACCUUGUUUAACUGCGUCGUUCACUCUUCGGUCUAUAUUAAAGCGACCAUAUGGAAUUCUCAAUAUAUAUUUGUUAUUUCUUUCUUUUUCAACAAUAUUUGUAUAUAUUAUAGAUUGAUUUUAUCAUGUUUUAUCUUCUCUUCCUUUCUUCUAUAUUAUAUUGUAUAAGUGGGGUGCUUACUUAUUUGGGUAAUUGGGUGAUCUCUCGUUCUAUCCAAUGUCAAUAUUCAAAUAAGGUAUGUUUUAUUCUUAUCCAUCCUUUUCUUUACAUUAUUAGAAAUCUAGUAGAUUGAUUUUCUUUUAGAUUUGUAUUAAAAUUUAUGGUGAAAUUUAUAAGCAUGCAAUUCAAACUAUUUUUUUCUAUUUUAGUCAAUGAUUAAUUUACCGUUUCUUCUUUCCCAAUGUCAUGAAAACUUUUGUCGAGUAAGUAAAUGGUUUUUCUUCUUUUUGCCUUUUUUAACUUUUCCUUUACAUGUAACAGGCAUGUUUGGAAAGCUAAAUAAAUGACAUAUUUUUUAUAAAUGUAUUCAAAAUUUAUGAUGAAUUUGUUGAAUUGUUAUACAUGUAAUUCAUACCUUUUCUAUUUUUCAAUAAAAGUCAACUUGCUAUUUACUAUUUUAUAUUAUUACCGAUGAUUUGCUUUUCCUUUCUUUUUAUUUGCAUUUUCCUAGGUGGCUUUUGCAUGACUUCUAUGCUGCCUUGAGAAAUCUGUUGUUUACUCAAAUUUUAAAGGACUAGCAUUUUUCUUGUAAUUUUAAAAUUUAAAAAUUUAUUUAGGUGUUACAUGGCAUUUGAUAUUUUACAAAACAUUACAAAAUUUUCAAAAUGGCAAAUCCGCUUUAUAAAAUUUUAUUUUUAAAUUUAUAAAACUUUCGCUAUCUAAAAUAAUAAGGACUAAUUAUUUGUUAACAUUUUUCAAUAUUUCAAAAAAUUAGACUAUGUUAUUCUUAACCCAAAAGGAAAAAGGCUUGUAGCCUGUUUCCGUUUUUUUCCAAAAAAAUUAUAUAAUUAAGUGUAAAGUUUUAUGAUUCAAAAUUAUUUACAGAUAAAUUUUUUAUUUUCCAAAUUAAAAUUUUGUAUUGUUUAUAUUUUGAAAAAUUUUCCGUUUUUAAUAUUUUGAAUAUAUAUAUAUAUAUAUAUAUAUAUAUUUAAAUAUAAAAUUAGUUUCAAAAUUUUUGUUUUUUUAAUUUAUGGAUUGUAAUAGUUUUUAAUUUCAUUCAUGGCCCAUUAAUCCAUUUUCUUAUAGACUUUUAAAUUAUAAAAAAGUGCGUUCUAUUAAUUAUUAUCAAUUAUUUUAUUUUUUUGGAAGCAUUUAGGCUUGAUCUAUAUUAAUGUAAUUGUCUCAUGGGUGUGGCUUGUAUAAAGCUUAGGCACUAAACAAUAAAGUAAGGUGAACAAUCAAAUAAUGUUGAAAGAUGUUGUUUUAGUAUUGAAAAUCUUUGUAAUUUUUCUCAUCUCAAUAGCUUACCUAUUGUGUAUUAAUACAUUAUGAAAUAUUAUAAGUUACUAAUAGAUAAAUCCCCUCAAGGCAUCUAUUUGUUUGUCUUUGAUGACUCAACCAGGUUAUAUUUGUCUUUGAUGACUCAACCAGGUCACAUAAGAAAUUAUUCCCAAUUAAACUUUCUAAAAAUUGACAUUUUCUAAAUAAUGAAUUUAUUAACAACAAUGGUAAAGAGCAUGCAUAAUACUUUCAUCUAUUAGCUUUACAUGUUAUUAUUAAUUAUUUAUCACAAAUUUUACAAAUUAUUUAUUUUAGUAUUAUUGUGUAUUGUUAAUUAUUUAUAAUUCCACUUAGAUUUUUAUUAAAUUACUUUAUUAAUGCAUGAUAAUAUCAUACAUGUGUUUUAUUGGACUUUAUUUUCAUAUAUUAUUUUAUUGAAUGAGAUUGUGCAAACUUUUGUGCACUACAAUACUAGUUAUUAUUCAUGGAGAAAGAGGUAUAACUGUUGUUAUUAUUGAUGGAGAGAGGCAUGACUGUUAUGAUUUUAAUCCCACAUUGACGGUUGGGGAAGUUUCGGGAUACAUAGGGGCUAUAAAACCAUACAGCAAAGACAUUCUAAAGCAUACCUUUCUCGGCCUUUUGGCUAAGAUCAAGUGUAGUAUCUGUUCUUAUCAGUUUAAUAUCUGAUACGUGGUCCAUAGGACCACACGAUAUUAAAUUAAUUUUUCAGUGGGGGAGGGGCCACCGCACUAGCUUGCUAGUCGGUCCUUCGGGCGUCGCCCAUGCGUUGCACUACUGCACGGGCAUGGCGCACCCCUAUCAAAUCAAACUCUAAACUUGGGAGACUUUUCCGUGGUCUCUCUCUCCCUCUCUCUCCCCUCUAAUAUUAAUUCAUUUUCUCUCUACUCUCUUCUAUUUUUCUCUCUCUAACCCACGCUUCUCUCCUCUUUCUAGCCCUUUCUUGUUAGUCGUAGGACCUCUCUCUCUGGUAACCCUUCCUUCUCUUCUCUCUCUCUCUAAGACCUCGUUCAUGUUAAUCGUACGACUCUUUUCUCUCUCUAAAAACCCUUCUCUCACACUUUUUUCUCUCUAAAAACCCUCCACUCACACCUUUUCCUCUCUCUAAAAACCAUCCUCUCACACCUUUUUCUCUCUCUAAAACCCUCCCCCCCCUUUUCUCUCGAACCCUUGUCUCUCAUGUCCUCUCCUCUCUCUUAUGUGUUAAUCCUAUGACCCUUCUCUCUCUAACUCCUACUAUCAACAUCCUCUUAUAUUCUCUCUCUAACUCCUCUCUAUAUGUUAAUCGUAAGACCUUUCUCUCUCUAACUCCUCUCUCAUGUUGAUCGUAGGAGUCUCAUUGACGAACGUGGUGUCUGUUGUGACAUGUUGAUCGUAGGAGUCUCAUUGACGAACGUGGUGUCUGUUGUGAUGGGUUGCCUUGCCGGAGUCUCGUUGAUGAACAUGGUGUCUGUUGUGAUGGGUUGGCUUGCCUUAUGACACUUCUAAGGCAGAGCAGUGUCCUAUUUGGGAAGGACCCUUGAUCCUAUGAUUAUGGUAUGGUCUUGUGGGAUAGAAUUAUUGUAUGUUCUAGGAUCCUAAGUUUUGAGAUGUGACUUAUUAAAUUUAGCAAAUCGUCAUCAAUGUUUUUUUUUAAUUAAUUGAAGUAUGAUAGACGAAUUCUGAUCCGCUAGUUUGCUCUAUAUUAAAGGCUAUACACUGCCAUAAAUUUUCAUAUUUUUCUUUUACAUACCAAUAUCACAAAAAAAAAAAGAGGAAAAAAAAAACAAUUUUGCUCUCUAUAUACUUUAAAAAGAACAUUGUCUUAAGAUUGAAUAGGGAUUGCCUGAAGGGCAAGAUCUAGAACUCAAAAUUCAAUUAUUAUUGUUUUUUUUUUGAAAAGUAAUCAGGAUCCCGAAACAGCAUAUCAAAAAAAUCCAAGCUAGUUCUUUUCCAAAGAGUUAAAAGUAUAACUAUGCUCAUGCUGGAGCAUGUUGUACGUGCCAGUUGUUAAUGCUUUCAAUGAGAGCUCGAUCAAAAUGAAACACUCAUUUUAAUCAUAUGAAAAUGUCGCAAAGGGGAUGAGAAAUAGGCUAAUCAUUUUGCAUAAAACUUGUUUUGUAAAGGUAAUUUUCUCCAUUUUAAGUGGCAUAUUUUAGACUUCUCUUGUAAAUGUUUUUAUUUCCAUUACUUAAUAAUAAAGUUCAGGCCAACUUUUAGCUUUCAAGCUCCACUUGUCAUGUAAAGAUACGACCCCAAUUAUUCAUGAGAUCUAAAUCUCACAUCCGAAGUGAUUAGUUUUCAAGGAGUUUUCUGUUCACUCUCAAAACCAUAAAAUAACGAGGCUCCCUCUCCUAACAAAGAGUCGACAUCCAUUAAUUUUCCAAAUAGAAUCAAUCGUUGUAAACCAUGCUCAAUUCAACCUCAUUAGCAAUUACAUUACGACAUGGAGCUACGAAAGAAAGAACAGUAGGUGAUCUCUUAUUAUUUUCUAAAUGAACUCCCAUCAAAAUUGAGUUUCAAAGAACCACAUGGACAUAGAUUCCAUCUUCAUACUAUAUCGUAUUUGAUACACCCAAUUUUAUAACGUUAUCCGAAUUGAAAGAAACACCACCAGUGUCUCCAUAUAUUUGUUUUUUUAUCUGACCUACCUCUAACACCUUGCCAUUAAAAUUUCUUAUGCUCUAUUAUAUCAAAAUCUCUCACAAAAUGGUCAGUCUAAAGGCCUUGAAAUGAUUUCCCCAUUCCUUGUUAGAUUUGGAAGAUUUAAAUGAUCAAUGGAGUCAGAAUACCUUUCAGGCAAGUUGAUGAAAACACCAUGUUAUUCAAAGCUUAACUUCAAAUAUGUUGCGAGAAAGGACAAUUCAGAAAUAGAUGAUCUCCAUCUUCCUCAUUGUUUUUACAGUUAAAAGAAAAGAUCGACGAGAACUAAUCCCCUUUCCUUUAGUGGUUCACUGUUAACACCUUUCCCUUACUUACCAGGCACAAAGAGUAAUUUUAUGAAGAGAAGAAACAACAACAUGUAUUUAAUCCACCUGUUUCUUGCUCCCAUAUAGCCUUAUCAUCAAAUUCCGUUGAGACAAAAAAAUUCUUCAACCUAUAUAAUUACGAUGUAAGUUAACUGCGACUUCCUGAACCCUAUUAUAUUUGCAAUAGGUAUUCCAAAAGACCUCGGUUCCUGUUCCUGUAGCCACUUCACAGACCUUGACAUAUCUAUUAUCCACCACUACGAAGAGAUAAGGGAAUCUAAGUUUCAAUGAUACAUCUCCCAACUAUUCAUGGAACCAGAAUUGAGUUUCAUCAUGUUUAGCAAUCAUCCAUCUUGAGUUCCUUACGUAAAUGCCCUAACGUUGUACUAGGGGUGAGAACGGGUUGGAUCGGGGCCAGAUCCGGAUGAAGAUCAUGCAUGGCAAUUUACUUCAAUUGAACUGAAUCCUGGUUCCUCGUUGAAAUUUCUAUCAAUCAUAACCAUUCUUGCUUUCAUGGAUUCACACCAUUACCCCCCUUGAUGCAUAAAUAUUUGAUACCAGGAUAUGAGCACCUUCAUCUUCUAGCCUAUUAUUGAUGAGAUGCUUAGCAACUGAUUCACCCCAGCCUAAGGCAUUAUAAGUUUGGCAUGCACCAAGCAAUGCCCCUUAAGCACUUGCACCCAUGCUUUUUGUCAUGGCCAUGCUCUUCUGCAUGGGCAUGGUCAUCAAAAGACCAUGAGCCUCAUCAAGCCUACCAGCUCUGCUCAAGAGGUCAACCAUGCAUGCAUAGUGCUUCUCAUUAGGCUCGAUGCCAUGGUCACGGGUCAUGACAUGGAAAUAAUGCUUACCUUCCUCCACCAAGCCUCCAUGGCUACAAGCUGAUAGGACCGAUAAGAAGAUGACCCCAUCAGGUUUUACACCAUUCAUUAACAUCUCAUCAAAAAGAUGCAUGGCUUCUAUGGCAUGGCCAUGCAUGCCGUAACCUCGAAUCAUUGAACUCCAUGCAUGCAAAUUCUUACAUGCCAUGCCAUCAAAGCAAGCGUAAGAAGAAGCCAAGCUGCCACACUUGGCAUACAUGUCGAUGAUGAUCGUCAUCCCCACAUGUCCAAUUUCACAAAAAUUCCUUAUGAUAUAUCCGUGGAUGCAUGAUCCAUGCUUUAGGCUUCCCAAAUGCCCACAAGCCGAUAAUGCACAGACUAGAGCUGCCAUAUCAGGCUUAACACCCUCAAUUUGCAUCUGAUGCAAUAGCUUUAAUGCAUGAUGGCUAUGUCCAUUAUGCACAUAAGCUCCCAUCAUGGCAGUCCAUGAACAAUACUUCUCACAGGCAUUUGAGCAAAUAUGAGGCUUGAACAACCUAAUAAGCCACGUUUUCCAUAGCCAUCAAGAAUAGAGGUAGCAACCAUGAUUUCAUGGUCAAGACCAACUUUAAUACAAACACUAUGAACCUAUUGCACCAUCUCAGAUAACCAAUUAGCACCAGAAUUAGCACAAACCUUUAGUAAACCAGUGAAACUGUUCGCGUUAACUCUAAAACUAUUCUCUCUCAUCUCUCUAAAACAACCAAACGCCUCCAAAUCCAUCCCUCUCUGUGCAAACCCAGAAAUCAUUGCAUUACACAAAGCAACAUCUCUAUGAUAAACUCCAUCAAACACAUUACGGGCACCUCUAAAACACUGAAUUUUACAGUAGAAGCUCACAAGACAAGCUCCGAAGCAGCAAUCAUGUCCAAAACCCAUCUUUAAACCGAACCCAUGAACCCCUUUUCCCCAUAGAUUUUCAGACAUAUUCAUACACGCCAUUAGAGCUGAAACCAAGGUAAUUGCACCAGGCCUCAACCCCUCUUUAUUCAAGCGCCCAAACAAUCUCAAACCCUCAUCAAUAGCUCCAUUUUCAACGUAAACAGAGAUCAUAGCAGUGAAUAAAACAAAAUCUCUCUCUUCUCUCUCAUCAAACACCCUUAGUGCACUUUUUACAAAUCCUAAUUUGCCAUAAAGGGCCACAAAAGAGGUGGCAACUGAUAUAUCAGAACUCAAGCCUUGUUUGAGAGCUAAACAAUGGAGAGAUGGAGCACAGGGAAGGGCAGAAUUGGAAAUUAAAGAUUUUGCCAAAAGUGGAAAGGUAUAAGUAUUAGGGCGACCUCCUGAACUUUGAAACUGGUUAAUGAGUUGAAAGGCUUUGUGAUGACAGCCAUGGGCAAUGGCUUCUUUGAGGAGAAGAUUUAAGGUGAAGACAUCUUUCAUGGUCACGUUGCAUUGGAGAUUGUUAUGGACGGCUGGAUUUCGCUGCGAGGCUGUGGAAGAGGAUCUGGGCCGUCGGUGGAUGGACACUCAGGAGGCAGGAGUACUCCAAACUUUCAUCACUAGUCAUGAACUCUUGGAAAUAUAUGUCUCGGGGCCAAAUUGACCUGGUUCAACCAUAUCCACAGUAAUGUCGUCACGACCAUACUCUAGAGAUUUUUAUCAUAGUCAUCAUAAUAUGGUCAUGACCACACCAUUUUUUUGUCAUCUUAAUGGGAGUUCAUUGAAAUUUCAUAACGGCUUUUCAAUUGUUUUGAGUUUUGGGACAAAGUAGUCCUCCAGUUAUUAGGGAGCAUUAAUAGAACUAUAACAAAACGAGAGUCCCUCCAUGAAGUUAUAUCCUUGCCCAGGGGCUGCCUCCUUUAAACAUAGGGAGAUUCUUGAGUCUCGUAAAGGGAAUGGGGCUUGGUCGUAGUGGUGGCACCCCACAUCUUAAUCACCACAUUGUGGUUUUCAAUUUUACCGUUAAUACUUUUACACUAAUAAUUUCAAAAACGCUAGAUCUUAAUGUACUUGAAAAAACGGGUAGGGGCUUGUCUUUCCUAUUGAAUUACCCACAAAAAAAAAAAAAAAAGGAAAAAGAAAAUAGUACAAGACCAUUUGCUUGUGGUAUGAGGAGGUUACGAUCAAUCAUAGCAAUGAGCUGUGAAAUAUGUCAUGAAGUUCAAAUUAUUUCUUGUAGACUUUGAAUAAUGGUAUAACUCACCUAUCUUAAUAUCAUAUUUAAGUUGACUGUGACAUCUUUGUACCAAAAAUGAAUGAUUUUAUUAUACAUAUAUAAAACAUACUCACUUAAAGAAAGAAUAAUAAUGGCAUAAACUUAUUUUGAAAAAUCCUAAGCUUUCUUGUAACAUUGGGAGAGAAUGUUAGUCCAAAUUCAUAUAUAUNNNNNNNNNNNNNNNNNNNNNNNNNNNNNNNNNNNNNNNNNNNNNNNNNNNNNNNNNNNNNNNNNNNNNNNNNNNNNNNNNNNNNNNNNNNNNNNNNNNNNNNNNNNNNNNNNNNNNNNNNNNNNNNNNNNNNNNNNNNNNNNNNNNNNNNNNNNNNNNNNNNNNNNNNNNNNNNNNNNNNNNNNNNNNNNNNNNNNNNNNNNNNNNNNNNNNNNNNNNNNNNNNNNNNNNNNNNNNNNNNNNNNNNNNNNNNNNNNNNNNNNNNNNNNNNNNNNNNNNNNNNNNNNNNNNNNNNNNNNNNNNNNNNNNNNNNNNNNNNNNNNNNNNNNNNNNNNNNNNNNNNNNNNNNNNNNNNNNNNNNNNNNNNNNNNNNNNNNNNNNNNNNNNNNNNNNNNNNNNNNNNNNNNNNNNNNNNNNNNNNNNNNNNNNNNNNNNNNNNNNNNNNNNNNNNNNNNNNNNNNNNNNNNNNNNNNNNNNNNNNNNNNNNNNNNNNNNNNNNNNNNNNNNNNNNNNNNNNNNNNNNNNNNNNNNNNNNNNNNNNNNNNNNNNNNNNNNNNNNNNNNNNNNNNNNNNNNNNNNNNNNNNNNNNNNNNNNNNNNNNNNNNNNNNNNNNNNNNNNNNNNNNNNNNNNNNNNNNNNNNNNNNNNNNNNNNNNNNNNNNNNNNNNNNNNNNNNNNNNNNNNNNNNNNNNNNNNNNNNNNNNNNNNNNNNNNNNNNNNNNNNNNNNNNNUAUAUAUAUAUAUAUAUAUAUAUAUAUAUAUAUAUAUAUAUAGAUUAAACUCUCUCUUGAUGUCACAUAGAAUCAACUGAAGUGGGUACUAUGAUUUAGAAAACCAUGGCAUCAGUUGUAGCAAGGAUUUGACGGGAAAUAUAUUAGAACUAAAAAGUUUAUAUAAGGUUGCAAUAUUAAAAUGUAGAAUUACGUAUACGCCUAAAAAAUCCAUCAAAAAAUGUUGCUUUAAUAUUAGAAACCCUUUAAUUGAUCAUCUCGACAUUGAGAUGCAUGAAUGUGAAAAAAAAUAAUUUUGAGUCCAAAAAUUAGUUCAUCUUGUAACACAUUAUGCAGACCGUCCAUUUUCAAGAUUUUCAUGUGUUUAUAGAUCUACUUGAUUUUAACCAUUUUUGCCGUUUACAGUUUUAUAAUUAGAUAUGAAAAUAGAUUUUAAGAUAAUCCUAAUAUGUUUUUACACCAACAUUACAUAUUAUGAUAAAAUUUGGAGGUGCGCCUUAAUUGAAUUGUUUAAGGUUGCAACCUUAUAAAAACCACACUCAUAUUAGAAUUCACCUAGGAGAUGAACUAUUUUAAAUCUUACCCCAUUUAAUUUUAAAAAUUCCAUAAAAAAAUACAUGUAUUCAUGAGUUGUAACAGUUAGAAAAGAGAAUAUUGUUAAAUAAUAUGUUUGGUGAGGUUACAAAAAUUUUCAGGACUAGAAUGCUUUGUUUUCUUUUCUUAAUGGUGAUAACAAUUGCACAACCGAAUUCUAUCUUUCUUUUUCCUCUGCUCCCCUUUUCCAAAGAAACCCAAUCCUUGUUCUUUUUGUGAAACAAUUCUCAAGGAGGCAUCAAGCCUUGAUUCCUCUUCUUCAGGGUUUCAUUAGUGUGUAUUGUGUCAGUGUGGGUCGUGUUACUCUUCUUGGACAAGAUCAGAGAGAAGCGUUUCUGUGCAUAAGCUGCAGGAACCAGAAUCCGAGUGUUUUGGUUAUGGAUUUUCUUUUUAUUUUUCUCUGUCUCCCUCGGCUUUGGCAUGGGAUUCGGUUCUUGACCGAGGCGAGUAACCUGGGCAAGGUGAGAUCUAGAGGGCUUACCUUAAGUAGUGAGUAGUGUACGAGUCCAAAGGGAACUAAAAGAUGAAAAAUAGGAAAUUUUUCAUAAAUAAUAAAAAUGGUAAAUACCAAGAGUGGAAAAAAUGAAAAGAGCGAGCCAGAUUUCUUCCUCUUUUUAGAGAGAGAGGAAAAGGGGGCAAAUUUCUAUACCCUUUUAGAGAGAGAGAGAGGAGCAUUUUGGAGAGAAAAUUUUGAAAGAUCUUAGAGAGAAUAGAUGUGGGCUACCGAACUUCCAGCAAUUAGCCCCUUUUCAAAAUUACUUACUAACAAAAAACAAUGAGACAAUUUACUUUUCAUAUAACAAGGUUGAAAAUCAGUCUUAACUAUUAGAUGUGAAAUCUAAUGGCUAGAGAGGUGUCAUUGACUAGACUCGAUAUUCAAAAAACCUUUUUUCAAACUUUGUGACCUACAUCCGGUUUCACAUCUUAUUGCUAGUGGUGAUUGUGACCUUUUGACAUUAAAGACAAGUGCAAUUGCUUAUUUUUAUUAUACCACUAAAGGACCAAUCCCAACAGUCCAAUUAGAAGGAACGGUUGGGAGCGUCACAGUACAUAUAACUUCAAAAAAGUCCAUAUAACUUGCACAUAAGAGUGACAUACUAAAAAGCUCCCCCUUUGAGGGAUAUCUUUAAAAUUCCACCCACCCUCAUCAAGCUUUCCAAGGACAUGAGAAUUACAAGUUGUAAUUAGAAUCUUGCUUCCUUUUUCAAAUGCUGCUUAUCAAUAACUUGAAUAUCAUCUUUCUUUUCUUUUCAGUCUUAAUAUCUUGAAUAUCAUCCAAUACGAGAAACAACUUUCAUCCCAUCUAAAACUCGACAAAUCUCCUUUUGUGCCCAUUUUAAUGUAGGAGUUUUUGGGCAUCAAAUUUCAUAUGUGAAUCAGGACAUCUUAGUAUCAGGAGAAACAAUGGAGUAAGGGCAAGCCUUUUGGACACACUAAUCCAUAUCAAUUCAUCAAAAUGGUCUGUUACCCUUUGAUGUUUUAUGGCUUUGAGAGGAUUGUGGUUUUGCAGUACCUCAUCCCCACUUACAAAGAGCAUAAAGGCCCCAUCUCUUCUUCCCUCAUCUAGUAGCCAAGGAACUAAUAUGUCCAGUUCUUUUUCCCAGUCUAACAAACCAGGAAUACAUGGCCCAGUCCUGCGCUAACACCAAGCUCUCUGACUCAAAAGCAUUUUCUUUUUUUAAACUAUUUGAUUUGGAUGGGGAAUCUACCAUUUGGGUUGAAAUCCAAUCGAGCAUUUCGGUGAUCUUCUUAGUCCUCUUGCCUAUUCGGUGGUGGAAUUCAGUAUUAGAAAAGGAAUGAUGGAGUAUUCUUUUUGCUUGUGUCUUGGCUUCUCUAGCACUGAUCAACACAUAAGCAAUUUCAUCACUUCCAUCACUAAGCUUCUUCGACUAGGCAUUUGGGACAUCUCCUUAAUUGUGCCUUAUCUGUUCCUUCGCUUAGAGCUGCUUCAUACUUGAUCCCGAGAUUCUUGAGUAGCAAUUUUUUGGGCUUCUCUAAUACCGAGGAGCUUAAGUUUUAUAGCACUGAUUCAACAAUGGCUAGUAUCAUGCUUCUUCUUGCCAGGCAUUUACCUUUUAGUUUUUAUACACAUUACGCAUCCAAACAACGUCCCUCCCAGAUGAUGCAUUGCAUCCUUCCGUUACUCGAUGGCCCUCGAAUUUUUGAAAGAGAGAAACCAAGUCUAAUCCCUUAACAUGUAUCAGAAGGAAAUUUUAUUGAUUUAUUUUAAAAGUUGCAACGAAGAAAUGUCAGCUUUUCAUUAAAGCAAGCAUUUGGUGGGUACGAAAGUGUUGAUUUGUAGAGAAAUAGCUCCAACCCAACUUCCCAAGCAAUCAUAGUUUUAGAACCAACCCAAAUUUAAAUAAGAGAAUUCAUGACAAAUAUAGAUGAAAUUUCUUGAAUAAUAAAUGAUUAAGUAAAAUGAACUCCCGCCUCAGCUACCUGAGUAGGCUCAUAAAACCCAAAAACUAUGAACAAAUUCUACAGAAAUUGCUGGUGCCAAAAUAUGAAUAAAUUCUAUCUGGUACCAAAAUAUGAAUAAAUUUUAUGGAAUUUGCUUCAUCAAUAUUAGGAGCCUGGGCUAAAUUUACACAUAAAUACCCAUACAGCCUUGCUCAAAGUGACAAAAAAGAAUUAAACAUAAAAGAUGAUCACAUUCUUUUGAAAUUUUCAAGGACUCCACUAAAACAUCACUAAACUGGGUGCCUGAAAAAUAUUUGCCAAAUUUUUGGGUACUUAGUACCUUCUUAAUAUUCAUGUUAUUGAAUUUGUUUUCACAUAGAGAAAGAGGUGUUUGUCUUAUGAUUUUAGUCCCACAAAUCAUAAAGCAUACCUUUCUCGGCCUUUUGCCUAAGAUUAAGUGUAGUAUCAGUUCUUAUCAGUAUAAUAUCUGAUACGUGGUCCAUCGGACCACACGAUAUUAAAUUAAUUUUUCAGUGGGGGAGGGGCUUCCACGCUAGUUAGCUAGUCGGUCCCUUGAGCAUUUACCAUGCGUUGCACUACUGCACGGGCAUGGCGCACCCCUACCAAUUCUAUUCCAAAUUUCUCCGAUGUUUUGCGCUUCAUGGAAUGUAUUCAUUUGAGCCUUCAUUUGGUAUUUUCUUCUACAAAUCACAAGGAUUAUAGAUUGGGAUAAUUUUAUUAAUCACAAGUUAUAUAGUUUGGGAUAAGUUUAUACGAGGUUCUAAACAAUCAAAAACGUAAAAAAUUUCAAAUUUCUUUUGAUGCCCAAAUAUCGAUCAUCUCAACAUCAAGAAGCCAAAUUUGUUUUAAUGCCCAAAUAUCAAUCAUCUCGACAUCAAGAAGAAUUUGUUUUGAUGGCCCAAAUAUCGAUCAUCUCGACAUCAAGAAGCAUGGAUAUGAGGAAAAAAUGAAUUUCAAGUUUUGGAAACAGACAUCAAGAAGCAUGGAUGUGAGAAAAAAAUGAAUUUCAAGUUUUGGAAAUAGUGUAUUUUGUAACGUAUUUUUGGAUUGUCAAUUUUCAAUAUUUUCAAGUUUUCAUAGAUCUAUCGAUCUACAGUAUUUUUGGAGUUUUAAACUUUAUAAAUAAAUAUUAAAAUAUAUUUUAAAGCUAUUGCAAAGACUUUCAAUAUUGAAACCAUAUUUCUCGACACCAUUUGAAGGUAGGCUCUAAUUUGAUUGUGUAGAGCCUAGGCUCUGUAUAAACCCCACACUUUAAGAUUUUACCUAUAUGUUUUGAUUUAAUUUCAAAUGUAUAUUAAAUAUACAUGAUUUUUAGUUGGAAAAAUAGAAAGGGGGUAAUGUAUUUAAUUGAAAAGUGGGGUAUUUUGCUAAAUUUCCCUAAAUCAUUUGUCUACGCAUAGUUGUAAAGCGGAAUUCAUAAAAUAGUAGCACAAUAACAUUUUAGAUAAAAAGGGUUUCUAAGACCCAUAUCUGAAUCCGAUCUCGAUGGGUUGAUUAUGGAGAUUUUCGGAAGAAAGCCUUGUCUAUUAAAUGCUUCAAUGAUGACUCUCGUCUCUCUCAUGUGUCAAGGGUCCCUAUCUUAGGCGUUAAUUCUUGGUUUUUUUUUUAAUAGACAAAUGAUGUUACCAUAUCAUGAGGCAUCAUGGUUAUUAUCAUCAUCAUAGCCUUUUCCGAAUUGUUUGGGGUCGGCUAUAUCGUUAGAAACCAUAUGGGAUCUGAUUGGGGCUAAGGAUUAUUUGCAAAGCCCAGCUCCAAACUUUUUUCUCCUAACAAAAAGAUAUAUGAAAAAGAAAUAUCAAAAUCAUAAUAUGUUAGCAAUGAAUAUAUAAUUUGGAUAUAAAUCAAUUAGUCUGCUUUGCCCUUUCACAUUCCCAUUGUUUAUAUACGCACAGUGGAACUCUUCUUCAUGGUGGUUUGUGUUUUGCUUCGACAUUAGCAUAUCCAUAGACAAUCUGGUGUCAACAAUGGAUGAUGGACAAUGAGUAUAGAAAUGACACUAUCUAAUCAUUUAUAGUUGACAUGGGUCUUGAAGGGAUCCCUCCGUUUUUUAAUUAUAUAGAAAGUAAUUAUCAUGAUAUACGAUCCAAAAUUUAUGGGACAGAGUUCUUAUACUAUAUAAGAUCAAUUACCUCUGGUACAAGGAUGUCACAAAUUGUAACUUACAAUCACUGUCACACAAAGCUAUUAGAUUCUAAAUAUGGGCGUUUAGGAUGAGUCACGAAGUUCAACAACUUUUUUUUGUUUAACUUUAGCCUUGGAAACGAGACAACCAGCUACUCGAUUUUACAUCCAAUGGUCAAUAUUGAUUACGACCUCUUCUUACUGUGUACUUGUCCAUUUGUUAUGGCACAAUUAGUUGUUUAGAGAAGAAACAAUGGUUUUUCAAAUAUUCAAAUAUCCACUUUUUGCCUCUUGAGAAUGUGGCAGUCACUUUUUGGUUUGGAAUGAAUACAUGGAGAGAGUUAAAGAAUUCUUUUUAUUCAACAGAAAAUAUGCCCAGUACAUUUGAUCUUCCUUUGAAAAUUAGGUCUUAACACUUAGAAGGUGAAAUGUGAAAAGAAAGUAUAUAUUGUAUAUCCGGUUAAUAUAGAACGUGUAUAUGAUAAUCAGUAAAUAUGGAAGGGAUGGGAUAUUGUAUCCUGUAUUAUGGUACGUCUGGGUAUAAUUUAGGUGUCUAUGAUUUAGUUUCUAUUAAUGUCAUCUGUAAUUUGUCUGUAAAAGACUGAAUAUUCAUAUAAAUUAAUGGACAUUGAGUUUUUUCAGAGAAACCUGAGACUUUUCACAUGGUAUUAGAGUCAAAUUCAUCUUAACUGUGUCCAUUCCUUGUCUCUGAAGCAUUGUCGCCGAUUUUCAAGACGACACUGUUACUCACCCAUUCGAUGCAACUUCUGUCGAGUUGUGUUUCGAUGCUCUGAUCUGUCCUCUCUGGCAAGUCAUAGUUUGACUCUUUAAUCUCUCCCUGCCGAGUCAUGUUUCGACUAUCUAAUCUGUCUAUAUGUCGAGUCGUGUUUCGACUUUCUGAUCUAUUUGAUCUUUUCCAAGAGGUCUCGAAGCCAUAUGUUCUCGAGGCUUGUCUAUUGGCUACUGCUUUCUGUCCUCGUUGAUCAAGCAAUCUGAGUAUGUACUUGAAGAUUCAACUACUUGUUUCCGCGACUUGGUGUUCAAACUCCAGCUGCUCUCUUUCAUUGAUCUCUCUUAUCUCUGGUAAUGAUAUGAGCACAAUUCAUAAAAUCAAACAGAAACUUGAAAGCACAUUUGAUAUGAAAGAUUUGGGUUUCUUGCGCUAUGUCCUUGGAUUAAAAGUUGCCUAUUCUCCUCGUGGCUAUUUGUUGGCACAAGUAAAAUAUGCUUCAGAUAUUAUUUCUCAAGCUUGACUCCAAAAUGAUACAAAGAAAAGUUGAUACCCCUCUUGAAGCAAUGCCAAAUUUCAGGCUACAGAUGGAAAAGCUUUUCUUGGCCCAAUAUUUUAUUGGCAGCAGGUUGGGAAACUGAUAUAUCUGACCAUUUCACUCCCCGAUAUUGCUUAUGCAAUACAUAUGGUUUGUCAGUUUUUUAGUGCCCCGUCAUCAAGCCUUAUUCUUCUCCUCUUCUACUUCCCUUGAGCUCUGGGUAUAUACAGACUUCGAUUUUGCGGGAAAUCCAAGUGAUCACAAAUCUACGACAGGAUUCUGCAUUUAUCUCGAUGAUUCUUUCAUCUUUUGAAAAUGCAAAAAAUGUAAACGAAUUGCUCAAUCAACUAUGGAAGCUAAAUAUCGGGCAAUGACACAAACCACCACUGAGAUUGUUUAGCUACGUUGGCUGCUCGCAGACAUGGGUGUCACUAUCUCUCCUCCAACUCUACUUUAUUAUGACAACAUGAGUGCCAUUUAUAUUUCUAAAAUCUAGAAUUCUUUGAGUGCACGAAUCAUAUUGAUGUCGAUUGUCACUAUGUUCGACAAUAAUAUCUCGCAGGCACCAUUUCCUUACCCUAUGUGCCCAUUGCAGCACAACUCGCCGAUUCCUUCACUAAGUCUCAUCUCUCGUAUCCUUUCUCACAAUAUGUUUCCAAACUCUCCAUGAUUCCUCUCACAUCAUCGCAAGUUUGAUGGGGAGUGUGAACAAACAUGGCAACUGCAACAGAUAAGGCAGCGUCUAAAUUGUAUGCUAUACCUAUAUAAAAACUGUAUUGUAUAGUUUUAGUAAGUAUUGGUUGUACCCUGUCUAUAAAUCCACAAUUGUAUUGUAGUCUUAUUGAUUGAUUAAUACAAAGAAAGAUUAUUCCUCACAGAGUGAAGCUCCUAUUUUCAUCUUUAAACUUGAACAAAAUAGCCCACUCCAAGCUCCCAUCUUUCUAAGGUCUCUAUAACUACGAGUUGUGACUAGAACCUUGCUUCCUUUUUCACAGCUCUGUAACAAAUUCUUUAGGCAAGGCCAUCCAAUACGAUAAAGAACUUCUUCCCAUCUAGAACUCGAAGAAGUUCCUUUUGUGCACAGUUCACUGUAGGGUGCUCUUAGGAAGUGAAUUUUAUCUGUGAACCAAUGCAUCUUGUUAUCCUGUGAAACAAGUUGUCAGGGGUAAUAAGCUUUUUGGCCACAUUAACCCAUAUCAACUCAUCAAAAUGGUCUCUUGCCUUUUGAUGCUUCAUGGCUUUGAGAGCAAGGGUGGAUUUGCAAAUGCUCUCAUCUCCUUUUAUAAAGAGUACAGUGGCUCCAUCUCUUCUUCCCUCAUCUAGUAGCCCAACUUGUCUAGUUCGUAUUCCCAGUCUAAUAACUCUGGAUUACAUGGCCCAGUCCUAUGCCUAAGACCGAGGUCUCUAACGCUGCAACAUUUAUUUCGACUGGCUGAUUCAAGUGGGCAAUUUAGCAUUUGGGCUGAAAUCCAAUCGAGUAUUUCAAUGAUCCUCUCGCCUAUUUGGUGAUGAAAUUCAGUGUUAGAAAAGGAUUGACAGAAUGGUGUUCUUCUUGCUUGCCCCUUGGCUUCUCUAGUGCACUCGAUCAAAAUGUAAACGAUUUCGUGGCUCUUCUAAUAUCAAGGAGCUUAGGCCUUUUAGCUUUGGUUUUAAAGUGGCUAAUGCCAUGUUUUUUGUUGACAGACUAAUCUUGAUAGAGCCUUAUGUGAGCCAUUAAAUCCAUUUUUCUGUAUAUACAUAUGGUUUGGGGGCAAAGGACACCAAGGAACUUGGGAGUCUGCCCGUCUUGUAGCACACAUUUCACAUAUCAUAGGAUAUAUGGUUUGCUAUCAACAUUAAGAAAUGCAUUAAAAUAUAAAUACCCAGGCAUCAUCUCAAUAGAGUAUUGCCCAAGGAACUUGUAUGGUAGUAAUGGUGAUGCAAUUUGAUUCCACAGGUUGACUUCUUAUUUUUUACAAGAUGAAGUUCUAUAAGGCCUAGGUUUUAUGAAAACGAAAUAAAGCUUCAUCUCAAAUCCUUAACUAGAAAGUACUUUUGGACGAGAGAAUCUCCAUGAUGGAUUUAAAUCAAUUUCUAACAUCAGAAAUAAAAUUUGAAACUAAAAAAAAGUAUAGAUCUUGCAGAUAUAUGAACACUUAUUUUUAACAUGAAAUGUACAGUCUAGAUAACUUUUUACAUUAUACACAAUUUUUAGAGCUUAAAAUCAUAUUAUUUUUUUUCACAACUAAUAUGUUUAAGCUGAGAUGAUCCAUGUAAAGGUCUUCCAAUAAUUGAAUUGUAAGUUUUGAUGAAUUAUGAUGUGAGGCUUUACUUAUUUUGAUAGGAGUGCAGUUCUAUCAAAUCAUUAUCCUUUUUUUAUAAGCAAUAAGGGUGACAAUGGGCGAGGCCGCCAGGCCCGCCCCUAAAUAGCUGUGCCACUAAAUUUUACUUGAGGAUUGGGCCGGGUAUGAAAUCUCGGCCCAACGUCCCGUCUGGGCCAAUCAUGGACUAAGGGCCUCGCCCAAUUCCUUGCUUGAACCUUUUCUUUGUUUUUUUAAUUGAAUUUCUUUUAUUAAAAAGUCAGAUAUAUACUGGUCUAGUAUGCCUUGACCCGUCUAGCCAAAGAAUAGAGCUGGGCAUGGUCAGGUCUCCCUUGGCCCAGCCCAAGACGAAGUGUUGCAACCCGAAAUAAGCAAAACACGGAUUAUAUGGGAUAUAUUAUUAGUUAUUUUAACUGAUGUCAAGUUAGUAGAAUCAAGGGCCAAAAACAACGGCGAUAGUAUACUGUACGUGAUGAGGUCAUUUACUUUUUACAAAUAUCUGUCGCACUAUGCUUAGCUGUCAGAUGUCAACCAGGACGGCUGUGAUGUGUCGUUCCUUAAAUCAAAAGUCCCCUAAAUCUCUGAAAGGGAGAAAGUUAGUCUAAUCCCUUAGAUAAAUAAGUGAGAGACAAAGAGACAUGCAGAUGAGAGAUAGAGUAGAUGAUCCUGAGCAAAAUUUAGAAAAUCGACUCGGCCAAAAAAAACUCGGAGCCUGAGUAACUCGCCUUAUUCUAACUUAUUUUUUUAAAAAAAUGAAGACAUAUCAUAAUAUAUGUAAUUAGCAAGAAGCUUUUACAAUUAAAUUGCUAAUGGCGUAUUGAUUACGUCACCUUUGCAAGAGAUGUACGAUUCGAUUCUUGAGGGCCUCCACUUUGCAAGAGCUGUGAGAUUCAAUGCUUGGGGUCCUUGUCUCCCACAUAGGGUGAGGCCGAGUUACUCGGCUGAAUCUCCACGCUGACCUAGAGAGAGAGAGGAUUAGAGAAAUCGGUGAGAGAGGUAAAGUAGAUGACAAAGAGAGAGCCUUAAACAGAUGAUUUUUACAGUAAUUGAGAGUUUGGAAUUUGGCCGCUCGAGUUCAGGUUACCAAAAGCCCCCGUUUUUUAAACAUUGGCGUAAACUUAUAAAGAAAAAAGCAGUAUACAGACUUGGUGAAGGUAUUCAGCCAUUGGCUGAGCUGAGUAACUCGACCGAAUCCUCAAGACUCGAUCCAGUCAUCACCGGGCUGGAAAGCCCUCAAUAAAAUGCAAAAAAAGAAGACGAAAAUUUCUUAAACUUAGGAAACCAUAUUAAAAUCAAUAUAAAAACAAAAACAACCUUAAGGAGCCCAAAUAAACUUAAAAAAAUAUUUUAAAAAAUAGAUGGAUACGGUUUGCAUGCAGGCCAAGCCCCCACAUGUAGAAAUGUUGGUCCCUUAAUAAAUGUGUUUUUGAAAUGGAUUUUUGGACUUAAUUUUUACAGAUAUGUAAUCUCUAACAUGGAGAUCAUGAUUAUUAAAAAAUAAAUAAAAUUUAAAAAUUAGAAAUAAUAAUUAUAUUAAAAAAAACAUAUGGACCGUUAAUUUCAAUUGUUUUUAGAUGGACCACAUAUUUGCAUCCAUCUUUAUACAUUAUCACUUUUACACCAAAAAAAAAAAAAGGGUCUUAUAUAGCGCAUCUACAUAAUGGACAUGAACUUUUGCGAGCCACCCAUAUGCCUAUACAUCGAGAGUGAAAUGUAUGAGAGCACUGCAACACCUUCACAUUCUCCACCUCUGUUUUAUUAAGGCAUAUUGUACACACUUCAUUACUCUCCCCAGCUAUCUCCUCCUCCUCAUCGUUGCUUUCUAAAGCAAUCUCCUCUUUCUUGCGGUUUGUUAAAGUUUCUCAGAGAGAGAAGGCACAAAAACAUGGUUGUCUACCUCUUCUGUCCAUGUAUUCAACCCCAGGACUCUAAUGAGCUCUUCAUAGUUUUCCUCAAUUUUUCUCAGUAAUUCACGAAAUUCUUGAAGGGUCAACAUAUUUCUCUCUUCCCCGUUUUUCAUCUUUUUACCUAUGAAAUUAUUGAGAGAGAAAGAUGAAGAGCAAUAAAUGUGUUAACAGAAAAGAAAAGACGAGAGAGGAGAGAUGAAUGCAUACAACUUAAAAAAAAGAAGUUUAUCGAUGGGAGAGACACUAUGUUAAUGGAUCUUCAUAGAGAUUGAGGAAUAUGGGAGACCUUGAGGAAUCCAUAAAGAAAUAGGAAAAGAUAAAGAAAAGAUUAUGUAAUAUUAUAUUCCAAUUUCUCUCUCUCCUUGGACAAUAAUCUCUUUAUAUUUGUUACAUUGAAUCACGUUUUCUCUCUCUAUCAAAUUAUCUUUUCUUUCAAAAGAUAAUCAUGUUUUAUGUUGAUUUAUAAAUCCUUGUUUAUCUUAAACUAGUAUACAUAGGCUUAACUCCUUGGAUGGGAGUGAAAGAUUUGUACAAUUAAAGAUAAAAUCUAUAAUUUGUUGUCUUUUUUUUUAUUUCUUGAAAAUUUUAUAUUUUGUGGAGAAAAGAAAAAGUUUCAAAAUAAAUAGAAAGGCUUUGAGAUUUACACGUGGUAGAUCAUUAAUAUCAAAAAUCGAAGAUUUAUAAAUUAUUAAUUUUGAUAAGUACUAAUAUAAUUUAUACCACAAUAUUUAAUAAGUAAUCAUCAUCAUUAUCGUCAUUCUAGCCUUCUUGCAAUUACUUAGGGUUAGAUAAUAACUUAAAGGAAAAAUUUUAUUCAAGGUUGCAACCUUAAAUGUAGAAUUAAAGACCCACCUCAAAAAUUCAUUGGAAAAAGUUGUUAUAAUAUUGAAAAAUUCUCUAAUUGAUCAUUUGGACAUCCAUAUAUGAAUAUAAAAAAAAAAUAUUUUGAGUCCCAAAAAUAGUGCAGCUUGCAACAUAUUAUCUAGACCAUCCAUUUUCAAGAUUUUCUCAUGUUUAUAGAUCUACUUGAUUUUAGUCAUUUUUUUAGUAUAAAAUGUGAUAAUUAUAUAUGAAAAUAAAUUUUCAGAUAAUCCUAAAAAAAAUUACACCAAAAUUACAUGUUAUGAUAAAAUUUGGAGGUGUGCCUUAAUUGGCUUGUUUAAGGUUGCAACCAUAUAGAAACCACACCCUAACUUAAUUAUAUCUAAUUUACUAAUAGGAUUAUAAACUCUGAAAUUAUUUAUCUUUGUUAAAAGGAGGUUACAACUGUCUCUAGCCAUUAGAUAUCAAAUUGGAUAGCUAUAGUCGCAAACAUGAUACUACAAUAUAUAUUACAAUCUAUGGGCUAAAUAAUAACAAUAAUACAAAUAUUCGUUAUAUUGCAAUGGCCUAUGAUUAUUUACUAAUAGUUAAUAAUAUUGAAUUAAACUUAAUAUCUACACUACGUUAUUCACUUAAAAUAUUUUUACUAAAAGAAUUUUAUAUAAAAUAUUGAGAUUCUUAUUUUUUUAAGGGUGCGGUUUGUAUCAAGCCAAGGCUCUAAACAAUCAAAGUAAAGUGUACCUUCAAAUAGUAUCGAUAAAUGUGGUUCCAAUACUGAAAUUUUUAAGAUAGCCUUAAAAUAUAUUUUCAUAGUUAAUUAUAAAAUUUAAAGGUUAAAAAAUAGUAUAGAUCAAGCAGAUAUAAUGAAAACUUGAACAUCUAGAAAAUUGAGAGAUUUUGGAAGAGAUAAUAAUUUUUUGUGGAACCGUUUUUGAACGGUUAAGAGCCUUAUCUUAACAUACCAUUUCCAUAUCCUAACCUAAUUAGUAAUAUAUAGAUGAUUAGAAAUAGAGAUAUAUAUAGAUGAUAUAUGAUUAAAAAUAGAGAGAUAUAUAGAUGAUAUAGUAAUCUAGAUGGUAUAAAUGUACGCGGAAGAUGCACGAUUCUCAAAACAUGAAAUCUUUUUUUUUUUUUCUUAAUGUCCAUGCAUCUUGAGUUCAAGAUGAUCCAUUUGAGGAUAUUUGAGCAUCAAAAUAACCUCUUCUAGUGAAAUUUUUGAGGUAGGCUCUAAUUUGAAUGUUUAGAGCCUCGGCUCUAUAUAAACUUUUUUCUUUUUCUAAUAUCUACCUCUCUAGAGGAUUUUUGGUUCACAUCAAAAAUAUGAACGUGAAAGUUUUUUUUUUUUAAGGAAAACUCUUUAAUAUUGAGGAGAAUAGAAAAAUUUAAGGGAGAGAUAUCCGUAGCAUGGCUAGGAAAGGAGGAGGGAAGUAGGAAAGAAAUAUGUAACCUUUGAGAUAAUUAUUGAGAUUGAAAUUUAUAGAGGAAGAGAGAGAAAUAGAGGGCGCACAUAUUUUAAGAGAGAUAUAUGCCUACUAUACUUUAGGUGGGAAAAAAAGAGGGAAUGUUUGAGAUAAAUCUUUAGAGGGAGAGAUUUUGGAAGAAAUAAUAAUUUUUUGUGGAACCGUUUUUGAAUUGUUGAGAGCCUUAUCUUAACCUACCAUUUCCAUAUCCUAAUUAGAAAUAUAUAGAUGAUUAGAAAUAGAGAUAUAUAUAUAGAUGAUAGAUGAUUAGAAAUAGAGAGAUAUAUAAAUGAUAUAGUAAUCUAGAUGGUAUAAGUGUACGCGGAAGAUAAAUCUAUCUUCCUUAUUGUAAUCUCUUGGAUAUGGUUGGUAUCAUCUGAAUUUAAACAGACGGAAGUAGGGGAUAUUAGAGAGGAGGAGACGAUUUUGGUGGUUUUUUAUUUCUUGUAAUGAGAGGAGAUUUGGUGUAAGAGAUGAUCAACGGUAUCUAGGAGUUCGAAUAUAUAUAUAUAUAUAUAUAUAUAUAGAAAACGUGAGUAUAUAUAAUAUAUAUAGAAAACGUGAGUAUAUAAAAAUAGGUAAGUUGAAGUUGGAUUCCUGAUUUUUUUUUAUUAAAAAAAAAGAGUUUGUAUCCACUUUUAGGGAGAGAAACGAAAUUUUCAAAGAACUUAUAAACUAGCAGAGAGAGAGAGAGAGAAGGGGUAUUAGAAGAGCCCAAAUCAAAUUCAUAUCCUUUAAAAGAGCCCAAAUCAAAUUCAUUUGUCCUGGUUGCACUCAAACUUGAAACUAAUUCAAUAUCGUAUCUUGAGUUUCCAACUACUAAUUCAAAACCCCAAAAGUCGACAUCAAGAACGCAACUUUAUCUAUUUAUUCUCAUUAAAAAAAAUUCACAUAAUAAAAAAACAAUGCAAAUCCUUGGACAAUGCAAUACUUUCAAUGGCACAAGCUGUCAUUCCCAUUGGGUUCUUUUGCUGUAGUGAAAUAGAGAUUAAGCAACAUAAUAUGUAAAGGACAUCAGGAAAAUAAAAUAAAAAAUCAUCAGUUAUUAAAGCAACUAUUUGCAACGCAAGAUUGUUGGUGCAAAAGGCGAGAUUUGAGGACAUGCGAGAUCGUGAACUCGGGGACGCCAAAAGAAUCUCCGAGAAAAGUCCCAUGUCUUGUUGCCGAUGUCAUAUACAUCAACCUCGAUGCUUGCGUUCAUGCCUCGAACAAUGAACAAAGAUUGUUGACGAUAUGGAAUUAUAGAGAAUCUCUCCAUCUUCAACGUACCGCUUGGAAUUCUGGAUCUUUUCUCAAGGUGCAAAUCAAUCAAUUUCUCCCACUUCCUCUCUUCCUCCCUUAACUUCCAUAUUUUCAAAUCUCGCGAUCCAGAAUCAAGAACUAGGCACACCUGGCCUCCCCAUUCGAUCAAUUUGCGAAAACAGGUGGGACAUGAAUCACAGGGAAGAGGAAUUCGUACCCAUUCUUCAGAUAUCAUGUUGAAAGCGAACAUGUCGAACCUGAUGAAUUUUUCUAAUACGUAGCACACGCUAUCGACACACAAAAUUGAACCCUCAUAUGUGAGUUGGAAUGGAUUAGCAAUGCUCUUCCAUAGUCCUAUAGCAGAAUUGAAUAUAGAAUACCCGGAGUGCCCGAAAUCUGAGGUUUGCACUAAUAUCAUAAAAUUUUCAGUUGCUGGGUCGAAAAAAAAUGCCCUAAUACUUUGAUACGAAUCAAACUUUCGGACGCUUACGCGCUUAUUAGUUGCAGGGUUGUAGACUAUUGUGGUUGCAUAGUCUGGAUAGGCCUUAUAGCACACCACACCAUUACUGGUGAUUGGAUGCUCCAACAAACGCUCUCCAACUGGUGGCUUGACCAGUCGGAGUCUCUUGGGUUUGACAUUUAUGAAACUCGAGAUGGACAGGAAGAACCAACCUGAGUAUAUGGAGAUCAAAGCGACACAGUUUGAGGGGUGCGAAGGCGUCGUGAGAAAAUGGACUCGAACAAAGUAGGGAGAGCACAGAAGCUCAUACAACCAUCUCGACACGCACUUUAUUGUGCAGACGGAUUCCGUUGGAAGCGCAACAAGAAUGCGAAACACGACAUCGUAUGGGAUGUCAUCAAGAGAGAGAGGUGAUCUGUCAUGUUCUUCUUCUUCAUGGGGAGGAAACAUAAGCUCCUUAUGAGAUGUUUGCUGAUGCAUCAAUUCUUUUGAUGAAGUCAUUUCCUCUCUUGAUUUCCUCUCGGCUUUUCUCACUGCUAGUUUCAAGAAAGGAUGGACCUAUUCGCUCUCUACUUUUCUCUCCCUUGGUUUUCAAGAAAGAAUGGGUAAGUACAAAAUCAAAAACUUAAAGAAUAUUUUUCUAAAGAGAUAAACUGUAGAGAGAGAGAGGACUAAAGUUUAACUUAAAUGAGAGUAAUGGUUUUUAGAGAGAGAAAAUCUAGAAUUCUUUUGGGGUAAGUACAAAAUCAAAAACUUAAAAAAUAUUUUCCUAAAGAGAUAAACUCAAAAGAUAGUACAUGUGUUAAGAGAGAGAAAAAGUUCGUCAAGGAAAGCUUGAUCUAUACAAAUCCUAACUUGAAUAUUGAUAAGCCUCUAUAUAUACAAAUCCUGCCGUGAGUUUGAUUCUAGAGAGAGAAAGGGAAGAAUUUCAGAGAAAAACUCAAAAAAUUACUAUUUGUCUUAAGAGAGUCAAGAAUUGAAAGAAUGUAUAGCUAGAGAGAGAGAGAAACUCAAAAACUUUAUUUCUAGAGGGAGAAGCUCAAGAAUUUAGGGAUUUAUUUCUCGAGAGGGAGGAGCUAAAAAAUUUAGGGGAUUUUGUAUCGAGAGAGAGAGAAUUUAGGAAUUGUGUUUCUUGAGGGAUUGUGUUGAGGGAGAGAGAGUUUAUCAAGGGAAGGGAUCGUUUUUUGCAACUACUGUAUAGGGGAAAUGGAAUUUGAGUCACAUACCAAUUGGGUUUUGGGUUGAAUUUGGAAAUGAAAUUAUCUUCUUUUUUUUUAAUUUUAUAUGUUUAUUUAUUUAUUUAUUUAUUUAUAUCAAUCAGAACUUAUUUUUUUUGAACUUUAUCUCUUUCUUCUUUUAUUUCAUUCAUAGCAUAUUAGGAUAUGGUUAGUAUUAUCUUAUCUGAAUUAAAACCAUCGAACAUAGGAGAUGUUAGAGAGAGAGAGGAUUUUGAUGAUUUUUUUUUGUUUCUCGUAAUGAAAGAGGAAAUUGGGUAGUUUUCAAUUGAUAGUACUUUGUAACGAGAGAGACCAUCAAGGGUUCGUAGGAAUGAACAUAUGCACUAACUAUAUCUAGUUGGAGUUGUAAUUAAGAGGAAGUUUUUUAUUAUAGAAAGUUACAUAUUUAACUUAUCUAGUUGGAAUAAAACUAUUGAGAUGGGCCUAAUCAAUGUCACGCCUUUAACUUUUUUAUUUUUUAUUUUUUCUACAAAACAUUUUGAGAUCAAAUUUUUUUUACAAACUUUUUUUAUUUUUUUAUGAUUUUAUUAUUUUUAUUUUUUCUAAAUUAUUUUUCUUAAAUUCUUACUCGAAAAACAUGUAAAAAAAAUAUUUCAGAAAUAAAAUGACCAAAAUAAUCUAAACCUUUAAGGGUAUUUUUGCCUUAUCAAAAAUAAUUUUAAAUAUUUUUUUUAAGUGUGCCCGACUGAGAAGAUGGUGCUUAUCAAAUUUUAUAUUCAUGUGAUUUGGUAAAAAAAAUUUCAAAAUAAAAUAUUGUGAGGCAUUGGAUCUAGAUCAAUUGGUCACUUGAUCUAAAUUGGACUGCUGGAUGGAGGGGUAUAAAAAAAUUUUUGGCAAGGGGAAAGAGCAAAAAAUAUAUAUGUAGAGAGAGAAGAAACCCAUUUAAAGAUAAACAUUGCAACAGUUUAAAAGCAUUUUGGAUAAAAAUCUCUCACUAUGAUAAGAGUUUAAAAGCAUAGACUUAGGGACAGGGUAUAUCCCUAACGCUCCACCUAUUAAAAGAUAAACAUUACAAUAGUUAAUUUGGCAUCGCAAGUAAAAACUAUAUAAAGAAUAGAAAAGAAAGGACUCUUUUCCCAAUUUCAAACUUUCACAAGUUAUAAAUCAUGACUAGCCAAUUACCAGAGAGAGUUUGAAAGCAUUUUCCGACAUUGGUCUCUAAGUUAAUUGCAGCUACUUAGAAUAUAAGAAAUGGAUAGAAAUAUAAGAAUUGGAAAGAAAACAUUACACCAGAUCUCCCCAAUGCAGUCCAAAUAUCAUUUGAGUAUGCAAUGGCAACAGAUUAUCUGCACCUGCCUAGGGUUACAACUGAUAUCACCAAGACAAAUUGUAAAAGAUUGGCCAUUUCAAAGUUAUACGAAGUGGGUUUUGGGGUUCAAAUCCGAAAUGAAGUUAUCUUUGUUUCUUCAAUCUUACCAUUUAUUUUUAGGUUUUUUCCAGCGUUUUAAAAAACGCCGAGUCGAACCGGACUCGCCCAGUUCGACUCGGAAUUCUCGAAAAGAGACCGGAUCGGUUGAAAAAUCGGAAAUCGUCCGGUUCUAGAGAGAAUCGGACGAUUCCGCACAGUGACUCGCCGGUUAUAGAUUUUUUUGUAUUNNNNNNNNNNNNNNNNNNNNUUUUUCUUUUUUGUAUCCACGAUUGAAUUUUUGUUUUUUUUGUUUGUUUUUUUUGUAAUCCAUGAUCGAAUUUUAUGUAAUCCAUGAUCGAAUUUUAUGUAAUCCAUGAUCGAAUUUUUUGAAAAUUUGUGAUUUUUUUUUUUAAUCCAUGAUCGAAUUUUUUUUGUAAUCCAUGAUAGAAUUUUUUGAAAAUUUGUGAUUUUUUUUUUAAUUCAUGAUCGAUUUUUAUGAAAAUUUGUUAUUUUUUUUUUUAAUCCAUAUUAUUCAAAGAGAAAAUGAGAGAGAUGAUGAUUUUGAGGCCACCCUAUCCCAGCCAUAUUAUUCACAUAUCGAGUCCCAACAGCAACAGUGUAGGGAUGAGCACAAAAUACUGUAAAUUAAAUGUUGAAUGGCGGUUCAUGCAGAGAAAGAACAUAUCAAUAUUCGCAUAUUCAUUUAAAAACAUGAAAAUUCUUAAUGGAGUACCCUCAUUUUUUAUUGAAUUCCUAAAAAAAAAUAUUUAUAAUGAAUUUUAAUAAUUUUUUCGAAUUUUUUUUAAGCUUUAUUCUGACCGAUUCACCCGAUUCUCGAUCCGGAUCGCCGAUUUGCCGAUCCGGAUAGGUUUUUUAAAAACUCGAUCCGAGUCACCGAUCCGUUUUUUAAACCAUUGGUUUUUUCCAAUCAGAACCUCUUAUCUUCUUUUUGUAACCCUUUGUUUUCAAUCACAACCUCUCGUCUUUGGGAAAAGUUUAUAUAGAGCCAAGGCUCUAAACAAUCAAAUUAAAGCCUACCUAAAAAAUUUCACUAGAAGAGGUUGUUUUGAUGCUCAAAUAUCUUCAAAUUGAUCAUCUCGACGCCAAUAAUUUGGAUUUCAAUAGCCCUUUAUUUCUUUCAUUUUUUUGCUCAGAUCUGGCAAAUAAAAAACACAAUAGAGUCUAAAUAAACCGUAAAAAAUUAAAAAGAUAUCGAUAGAGCUAGCAUCUCUUGACAUUCUUUAUGUACAACAAAAGUAAUCAUCAAUAGAAGAAUCGCAAACCCGGUUCAGAGGAUAUAACUAUGAAUUACUAUCCAACGGCUGUGGUCAUGCAUCUUCCCCAUAUAGUCUCAUCACUAGUUUUGUAAUAACCAUUUGCAAGUUUUGCUAUUGUAGUCCAGUGGUUAGGGUGAUGUAUUUUUAAGUGAUCAUGAAUCCACAAGAUUUGUGACAUUUUUUUAACAACAAAGUUUAUAUUCAAUGGUCGAAAUAGAAUUUAGAGCCAUCAUCGGGCUUCCAUGCAUGAAAUGUUACAAGGUUUUCAGGUGAAGUUUUAUCCUUUUUCAUAAGGCCUAGGGCUAAUAGAAACCUCAUCCGUUAAUCAUAAGGCCUAGGGCUAAUAGAAACCUCAUCCGUUAAUCAUAAGGCCUAGGGCUAAUAGAAACCUCAUCCGUUAAUCAUAAGGCCUAGGGCUAAUAGAAACCUCAUCCGUUAAGUGAUAAUUUUUUUAAUAAAUAAGUUCAAAUAGCAUAUAAUUACAAGAAACAACAACCCAUAUUUCCCCAUAAUGAAAUAACAUUAAAACCCCAGGCUCAAACAUUUCAAAGUAAAAUAAUGCAGAAAAAGUUUAUAUAAGGUUUUUUUUGGGUUUAUAUAAGGUUGACAACUUAUAUUAUAGAACUAAGGUGCACCUCAAAAAUCCAUCGUAAAAGACUUUUUCACUUUGGAAAGCCAUCUAAUUGAUCAUCUCGACGUCGAGAGAUAUAGAUAUGGGAAAAAAAUUCAAGUCUAAUAAAUAGUAUAUGUUUCAACAUAUUAUCUAGACCGUCUGUUUUCAAUAUUUUCAUGUGUUUAUAGAUCUACUUGAAUUAAACCAUUUUUUAAGUUCAAUAUUUUAUUUUAUAAUUAGAGAUAAAAAUAGAUUAUUGGGCCAUCCUAAGAAUUUUCAGCGUCAAAAUUGCAUCUUAUGAUGAAGUUUGGAGCUGCAUUUAGGGUUGGCAAUGGGCCAGGUGGCCCGGCCCUAAAAGUAGGGCUUGGGCCACAAACUGUGGCCUGAGGGCCAUACUAGGGCUGGUGCUGGCCCAACACCUUUAUCAUUUUUUUUUUAUUUUUAUUUUGUCUUCAUUUGUUUUUGGCACAUAGCAGACCUAUUACGGCCAGGCGGGACUCCGACCGGCCCCAUCGUGAUGAGGGCCGUGCUCGAGCCCAUCCCUGGCCUAGCCUAUUGCCACCUUUAGGUGUGUCUUACUUUGAUUAUUUAAGGUCACAAUAUUAUAUAAACCACACCCUAAUAAUAUACUACAAUACUAACAAAAAGGAGAAAAAUGCAGAUAAUCCAAGAUAAAUGUGGUUCCUUCCAACAUAUUCUAAUUUUUAAUAAAAUGGGUUAAAAGACAGAGUUCUUGAUCACAAUUAAAAGACAGAGUUCAUGGUAGGAAUUGAGCCUACGACGUACACUAAUUUUGCUUUGGAUAAGGAAAAAAUUUAUAUAAGGUUGCAACCUUAAAAUUUAGAAUCAAAGACGCACCUAAAAAAUCCAUAAUAGGCGGUUUUUUGGAUGUUGGAAAACUCUUUAAUUGAUCAUCUCGACAUUGAGAUAUAUGAAUAUGAAAAGACAAAAGAUUUCCAAACCGUCUUGUAAAAAAAAAGAUUUUCAGUCGGUGAAAUAGUGUAUCUUACAACACAUUAUCUGGACUGCCUAUUCUCAAUUAGCUAAUUGAUUUGAACUGUUUUAGAGUUUUAAAAGUUUAUAAUUAGCUAUAAGAAUAGAUUCUUAAGACAUCCUAAUUUUUUUUUUUUAUCAAAAUUACAUGGGAAAGUAAGUAUAUACGGUUGCAUCCUUACGUCCACAGCUUAUAAACCAUCAAAUAUUUUGAAUGGUUCAGAUUUCGCAUUUGAAAAUCAUACACCAAUAUUUCUAACUGGAAGCAACCGGUUACCCUUCCAGCUGUGUGUCUCUCUCUCUCCAAUCAAAACCGUGGCGGUUUUGCAGUGUAUGAUUCUCUCCUACGGGUCUUGAAUCUUGAUCGUUGAUAUACACUGAGAAAAGUGGAAACUUUUCAAAGUAAAAGGUCCUUAUUUUAAAAAAGCAGUUUUUUAGUGUUUUCAAUGGUAGUUUCUUAGGCUCCCUUUCUCUCUGAUGAUUCCAGGGCCCAAAGAAAACCACCUUACCUUUUCUGCUCUUUUUUGCAAAGUCCACGACCGUUUCGCAUAAACCCCGUUUGUGUAAAAAUAAAAAAUAAAAAAGCAAAACCCAUCUCUUUGUGGUUUCUGAUUUAGGCUCUGGGUUUCCAAUACCUAAUGGGAAAAUCACAGCGGUUUCCAAUACCUAUUGGGAAAAUCACAGCGGUUUUUGAGAAGCCAGAAUGGGUUUCAUAAAGCAUAGCAGGUCUUUUCUCUAAUUCGUGACCAGUGGCACUCUAAGGCACUGGUAAUAACGAGCCAAAUCCAUCCACCAAGACCCACUUGCUUUUUCACCAUACCUUCAAGACCCACAACACAUAUAUGGUGCAAUUAUUGCCAUUGACCACCAUCUUGAUCCAUCUCAGAAGAUCAGAGAGCUCCUCUUCUUCACUGGUUUCUCCUUCUCAAAUUCAUAAGCCUCGCCAUUAGAGCCCCUCUCCAACCCUUCUUCAAGCAUUGCAGAAUGCAUUGCGAAAACCACUAAACUUGGAUGAAAUAGCAGAGAAAAAAUUAAACAACAAUGGCGGAAGAGUGCAGCCGAAAUUGAGCACUCAGCACCUCAAUUCUCCUGUUUUCUCAUCAAAUACUUUCUCUCUCUGCACCUUUUCUCAGGUACUUCCUAAUCUAAAACAAAGGUGGAUGCAGAUCUAAGAGAAAAUAUGCAUAUCAGGCCUUUUCUCCCUCUACUAAAGCCCAGCUGCUCCUCUCUAGUUAAGUUAAUGGGCAGUGGACUUCAUGCGCAGUCACAGCCAUUGAAAUGAUUGAACGGUGGAGAUUGCUUCAAUCUUACUUCUACAGAUGCCUCCGUAUGCCAACCGCACCCAAAUUGCAUUUAUGUGGGAAAAAUCCAACGUAUUAAAAGAGGAUUAUAAUGUCGUUCAACUAUCUAAUACCCAUAUCAUUCAGUUUUCUGUUCCCAAAGAAUUGCAUGGCCAUCGAACCAUAUAUUAGUAGCUAAUGUCAUUGACUCUUAGAAAAGAUCCACAUAUCAUGUAGUCUCUCCUAAGGUUAAAUUCACUCUAAGUCAUUAGUCGUUGAAUAGAGUAGUCAAUCAUAUUUUAUUAGAAUUUUGUGAUAUUAUGUGACUGCUAAUUAUGCUUGUGUUUUUCUUGUAAUAAAAGUAAAAGUCUAAAAAUGUAUGAAACCCAAUUAUAGGUCUUUCAAUUCACCAUAUAUUUCAGGUUUAACUUCAUCUAAAGCUUUUCUUCAAAAAAAAACUUCAUCUAAAGCAGGAUAUGCAUCUCAAACCCCCUACCUAAAAUCACACGCUCCUAAACAAAAUCAAUGAAACAGUAAUGGGUUUUGUUACCAGCUAUAGAAGUAACCCAAAAAUUUGAAGCCACUGAAAACAAGUAAAUCAGAAACCAUUUCCCCACAUUCUCCAAAACUAAAGGGAAAGAAGUCAAGAAAUCAAACAAUAAUGGAGGAGUAAAAGGAAGGUUUACAGGAUCAUGCAGAGGAUGGAAAUGGCAAUGGCUAUGUAAUCACUUGGGCAUCCACCAAGAACAGAGCAGUUAGCCAUGGUUAAUGGUAUUUUGGCAAAUUGGGCAUCUUUUUAAGGUUUAAGCUCGGCAAUGGAGAGCAAAAUUGAGCAUUCGAGCGAGAAAAUCGUAUGUGGAGAAGGUCGAGGUUAGAGAGAAGAAGUUGUCGAGAGAGAAUGAGGACCCUAGAGAGAGAAAGUGCCCGAAGUACGAGGGAAAUGUCUCCCUCUGAUUUUCCC
This 31759-nucleotide long non-coding RNA is filed under the name Amborella trichopoda. RNAcentral's name for it is "long non-coding RNA (ATRI_LNC004218)". The stretch from base 3194 to 3390 matches the Rfam family "U2 spliceosomal RNA". Lineage: Eukaryota; Viridiplantae; Streptophyta; Magnoliopsida; Amborellales; Amborellaceae. The record is from RNAcentral.